RNAcentral lists this ribosomal RNA (330 nucleotides) under uncultured eukaryote. Its description in RNAcentral is "partial 18S ribosomal RNA". It matches the Rfam family "Eukaryotic small subunit ribosomal RNA", at positions 1470 to 1796 of the family's 1831-position model. The record is from RNAcentral.
CCCUUAGAUGUUCUGGGCCGCACGCGCGCUACACUGAUGCAUUCAACGAGUCUAAAACCUGGUCUGAUAGGGCUGGGUAAUCUUUUGAAGGUGCAUCGUGAUUGGGAUAGAUGAUUGCAAUUCUUCAUCUUCAACGAGGAAUGCCUAGUAAACGCAAGUCAUCAGCUUGCAUUGAUUACGUCCCUGCCCUUUGUACACACCGCCCGUCGCUCCUACCGAUUGAAUGAUCCGAUGAAUACCAUGGAUUGAGAGUACGAAUGGGUUCGCUCAUUUCUGCUGCUCGAGAAGUGGAGUAAAUCUUAUCAUUUAGAGGAAGGAGAAGUCGUAACA